Molecule: ribosomal RNA, 497 nt
Filed under: uncultured bacterium
Lineage: Bacteria
Description: partial 16S ribosomal RNA
Rfam family: Bacterial small subunit ribosomal RNA
Source: RNAcentral
GACGAACGCUGGCGGCAUGCCUAAUACAUGCAAGUCGAACGCUGAAGCACUCUGCUUGCAGAGUGCUGAUGGGUGGCGAACGGGUGAGUAACACGUGUGAAAUCUGCCUAUAAGAGGGGGAUAACAUUCGGAAACGGAUGCUAAUACCGCAUAUAUUCUUGGACCACCUGGUCCUUGAAAGAAAUACGGCGUUGCUGUCGCUUAUAGAUGAUCCCGCGGCGUAUUAGUUAGUUGGUGGGGUAAAGGCCUACCAAGACAAUGAUACGUAGCCGAACUGAGAGGGUGAUCGGCCACACUGGGACUGAGACACGGCCCAGACUCCUACGGGAGGCAGCAGUAGGGAAUCUUCCACAAUGGGCGAAAGCAUGAUGGAGCAAUGCCGCGUGAAUGAAGAAGGUCUUCGGAUCGUAAAGUUCUGUUAUUAGAGAAGAACCAGUCAAGGCGUAACUGUCUUGACUUUGACGGUACCUAAUCAGAAAGUCACGGCUAACUACGUG